RNAcentral lists this small RNA (147 nucleotides) under Xenorhabdus bovienii. RNAcentral describes it as "yybP-ykoY". The stretch from base 1 to 126 matches the Rfam family "Manganese Mn2+ riboswitch aptamer (yybP-ykoY)". Rfam says of the family: This RNA was originally discovered in E. coli during a large scale screen and was named SraF. The family was later found to exist upstream of related families of protein genes in many bacteria, including the the yybP and ykoK genes in B. subtilis. The record is from RNAcentral. RNAcentral also lists the same sequence under 1 other name. Lineage: Bacteria; Pseudomonadati; Pseudomonadota; Gammaproteobacteria; Enterobacterales; Morganellaceae.
UUUCCAGUCAUUGGGGAGUAGCCUGUUCCAAAACAUUUUUGGAAAAUUCGUAUCAACAUACUCGUUUGCAACAAAACGUGGUACGAAUGCCUGAAGAGCCUAAUAAAAAUAAGCUCUAAAUCGGUUGGCAAGACCAUAGACACAUGG